RNAcentral lists this non-coding RNA (26 nucleotides) under Gallus gallus (chicken). Lineage: Eukaryota; Metazoa; Chordata; Aves; Galliformes; Phasianidae. RNAcentral also lists the same sequence under 6 other names. The record is from RNAcentral.
UCGGGGUUUCGUACGUAGCAGAGCAG